CAGUCGAGCGACAGACAAGGAGCUUGCUCCUUUGACGUUAGUCGGCGGUACGGGUGAGUAACACGUGGGUAACCUACCUAUAAGACUGGGAUAACUUCGGGAAACCGGAGCUAAUACCGGAUAAUAUUUCGAACCGCAUGGUUCGAUAGUGAAAGAUGGUUUUGCUAUGCAGCGUUAUAGAUGCGACCCGCGCCGUAUUAGCUAGUUGGUAAGAGUAACAGGCUUACCAAGGCGACGAUACGAUAGCCGACCUGAGAGGGUGAUCGGCCACACUGGAACUGAGACACGGUCCAGACUCCUACGGGAGGCAGCAGUAGGGAAUCUUCCGCAAUGGGCGUAAAGCCUGACGGAGUCAACUGUCCGCGUGAGAUGAUGAAGGUCUUCGCGAUCGAUAAAACUCUGUUAUUAGGGUAAGAACAUACGUGUAAGUAACUAUGCACGUCUUGACGGUACCUAAUCAGAAAGCCACGGCUAACUACGUGCCAGCAGCCGCGGUAAUACGUAGGUGGCAAGCGUUAUCCGGAAUUAUUGGGCGUAAAGCGCGCGUAGGCGGUUUUUUAAGUCUGAUGUGAAAGCCCACGGCUCAACCGUGGAGGGUCAUUGGAAACUGGAAAACUUGAGUGCAGAAGAGGAAAGUGGAAUUCCAUGUGUAGCGGUGAAAUGCGCAGAGAUAUGGGAGGAACACCAGUGGCGAUGCGACUUUCUGGUCUGUAACUGACGCUGAUGUGCGAAAGCGUGGGGAUCAAACAUGAUUAGA
RNAcentral lists this ribosomal RNA (757 nucleotides) under Staphylococcus sp. Its description in RNAcentral is "bacterial SSU rRNA". It matches the Rfam family "Bacterial small subunit ribosomal RNA", at positions 59 to 782 of the family's 1533-position model. The record is from RNAcentral. Lineage: Bacteria; Bacillati; Bacillota; Bacilli; Caryophanales; Staphylococcaceae.